GAUGAACGCUGGCGGCGUGCCUAAUACAUGCAAGUCGAGCGAACAGGUGAGGAGCUUGCUCUUUUCUCGUGAGCGGCGGACGGGUGAGUAACGCGUGGAUAACCUACCUGCUAGAGUGGGAUAACUACGGGAAACGGGAGCUAAUACCGGAUAAGAUUUUGAACCGCAUGGUUCGUUGGUAAAAGUCGGUUUUGCGGUCCCGUCUAGAGGGAUCGCAGCGGCUUUGGUUGGUUGGUAAGGAAAAGGGUUACCAAGGGAACGAUGAGUAGCCGACCUGGGAGGGGGAUCGCCCACCUUGGAACGAGCCCACGCCCCGGACUCCUGCGGGAGGCACCGGUCGGGAACCGUCCGCAGAGGUCGAAAGCCUGCCGGAGCAACCCGCCGGGCUGGAGGAGGUUCUCCGGAUCGUAAAACCCGUUUAUUGGGGAAGAACAGAUUUGUAAUGAACUGUGCACAUCGUGACGGUACCUAAUCAGAAAGCCACGGCUAACUACGUG
RNAcentral lists this ribosomal RNA (497 nucleotides) under uncultured bacterium. RNAcentral's name for it is "partial 16S ribosomal RNA". It matches the Rfam family "Bacterial small subunit ribosomal RNA", at positions 28 to 507 of the family's 1533-position model. The record is from RNAcentral.